Molecule: ribosomal RNA, 429 nt
Filed under: Chloroflexota bacterium
Lineage: Bacteria; Bacillati; Chloroflexota
Description: Chloroflexi bacterium partial 16S ribosomal RNA
Rfam family: Bacterial small subunit ribosomal RNA
Source: RNAcentral
UGGGGAAUAUUGCACAAUGGGCGCAAGCCUGAUGCAGCCAUGCCGCGUGUAUGAAGAAGGCCUUCGGGUUGUAAAGUACUUUCAGCGGGGAGGAAGGGAGUAAAGUUAAUACCUUUGCUCAUUGACGUUACCCGCAGAAGUAGCACCGGCUAACUCCGUGCCAGCAGCCGCGGUAAUACGGAGGGUGCAAGCGUUAAUCGGAAUUACUGGGCGUAAAGCGCACGCAGGCGGUUUGUUAAGUCAGAUGUGAAAUCCCCGGGCUCAACCUGGGAACUGCAUCUGAUACUGGCAAGCUUGAGUCUCGUAGAGGGGGGUAGAAUUCCAUGUGUAGCGGUGAAAUGCGUAGAGAUGUGGAGGAAUACCGGUGGCGAAGGCGGCCCCCUGGACAAAGACUGACGCUCAGGUGCGAAAGCGUGGGGAGCAAACAGG